RNAcentral lists this ribosomal RNA (490 nucleotides) under uncultured bacterium. RNAcentral's name for it is "bacterial SSU rRNA". It matches the Rfam family "Bacterial small subunit ribosomal RNA", at positions 30 to 504 of the family's 1533-position model. The record is from RNAcentral.
CGAGCGCUGGCGGCGUGCCUAACACAUGCAAGUCGAACGAGAAAAGAGAGCUUGCUCUCUGAGUAGAGUGGCGCACGGGUCAGUAACAUGUGGGUAACCUGCCCUUGGGCGGAGAAUAACCCGUCGAAAGAUGGGCUAAUACUCCAUAAGACCACGGAAUCUUCGGAUUCUGAGGCCAAAGGGGGCUUCGGCUCUUACCUGAGGAUGGGCCCGCACACCAUUAGCUUGUUGGUGGGGUAACGGCCUACCAAUGCUGAGAUGGUUAGCUGGUCUGAGAGGACGACCAGCGACACUGGAACUGAGACACGGUCCAGACUCCUACGGGAGGCAGCAGUGGGGAAUCUUGGACAAUGGGCGAAAGCCUGAUCCAGCGACGCCGCGUGAGUGAUGAAGGCCUUCGGGUUGUAAAGCUCUGUCAGGGGGAACGAAUAAGGGUGACCUAAUACGUCAUCUGAUGACGGUACCUCCAAAGGAAGCACCGGCUAACUCU